GACGUAGGGUCCAAGCGUUGUCCGGAUUUACUGGGCGUAAAGAGCGCGUAGGCGGUCUGUUAAGUGUGAAGUGAAAUCUCCAGAGCUCAACUCGGAAACUGCUUCGCAUACUGGCAGACUUGAGGAAUGCAGAGGUGAAUAGAAUCCCUGGUGUAGCGGUGAAAUGCGUAGAUAUCAGGAGGAAUACCCAUGGCGAAGGCAGUUCACUGGGCAUUAUCUGACGCUGAGGCGCGAAAGCGUGGGUAGCAAACAGGAUUAGAUACCCUGGUAGUCCACGCCCUAAACGAUGGAUGCUAGGCGUAAGAGGUAUCGACCCCUCUUGUGCCGCAGCUAACGCAUUAAGCAUCCCGCCUGGGGAGUACGGCCGCAAGGUUGAAACUCAAAUGAAUUGACGGGGACCCGCACAAGCGGUGGAGCAUGUGGAUUAAUUCGAUACUAACCGAAGAACCUUACCCAGGUUUGACAUCGAUUGUAACACCCAGAGAUGGGUGCCUCUCCCACAAGGAGACAUGAAGACACUUGUUGCAUGGCUGUCGUCAGCUCGUGCCGUGAGGUGUACGGUUAAGUCCGCCAACGAGCGCAACCCUCGUCCUAUGUUGCCAGCGAGUAAAGUCGGGAACUCAUAGGAGACCGCCGGUGUAAGCCGGAGGAAGGUGAGGAUGAUGUCAAGUCAGCAUGGCAGUUACGCCUGGGGCUUCACACAUGCUACAAUGGGCGCAACAAAGGGCAGCAAAACCGCGAGGUAGAGCCAAUCCCAAAAAUACGCCCCCAGUUCAGAUUGCAGUCUGCAACUCGACUGCAUGAAGGCGGAAUCGCUAGUAAACGCAGGUCAGCUAUACUGCGUUGAAUACGUUCCCGGGUCU
Molecule: ribosomal RNA, 863 nt
Filed under: uncultured bacterium
Lineage: Bacteria
Description: SSU rRNA
Rfam family: Bacterial small subunit ribosomal RNA
Source: RNAcentral